RNAcentral lists this ribosomal RNA (510 nucleotides) under Theileria sinensis. RNAcentral describes it as "SSU rRNA". It matches the Rfam family "Eukaryotic small subunit ribosomal RNA", at positions 499 to 1055 of the family's 1831-position model. The record is from RNAcentral. Lineage: Eukaryota; Apicomplexa; Aconoidasida; Piroplasmida; Theileriidae.
UUGUCUUGUAAAUUGGAAUGAUGGGAAUUUAAACCUCUUCCAGAGUAUCAAUUGGAGGGCAAGUCUGGUGCCAGCAGCCGCGGUAAUUCCAGCUCCAAUAGCGUAUAUUAAAAUUGUUGCAGUUAAAAAGCUCGUAGUUGAAUUUCUGCUGCAUCGUCGCAUCUCUUGCUGAGUGCUUCGUUUCGGCUUAUUUCGGAUUGAUUUUUUCUUUCCGGAUGAUUACUUUGAGAAAAUUAGAGUGCUCAAAGCAGGCUUUUGCCUUGAAUAGUUUAGCAUGGAAUAAUAAAGUAGGACUUUGGUUCUAUUUUGUUGGUUUUAGGUACCAAAGUAAUGGUUAAUAGGAACAGUUGGGGGCAUUCGUAUUUAACUGUCAGAGGUGAAAUUCUUAGAUUUGUUAAAGACGAACUACUGCGAAAGCAUUUGCCAAGGAUGUUUUCAUUAAUCAAGAACGAAAGUUAGGGGAUCGAAGACGAUCMGAUACCGUCGUAGUCCUACCCAUAAACUAAAACA